UAGUGCUAUAUAAAAAUAAUAAAAUAAAAUAAACCAUCUGAACUAGUGGCCGCAAUGAUAUAUAGGUCUAACAAACUUUUAUUUUAUGACCCCCAAAUAAACAAAUUAGUGCAAUAACGAAGUUAGCUUUCUUGUGUUUUUGAAAAGCUGUGUGUAAAGUUGAUGCACUUUGUUUUAAAUGCAUAAUGUCAUAGUUUUUGAAACAGAUCUAAUUUUUUCUAUUUGUGAUGUGUGCCUUACUUUUCUAGAAGAUGUCUCAUUUGCCAUGAGUAGGGCCCUAUAAAUUAUGCGGAAAUUUUUUAAAAAUUAUGCGGCUAGGAUGCGGCGAUUUUUAAAAAUUAUGCGUCAAGGAUGCGGUGUCUUUUAAAAAUUAUGCAUGCAGAAGUUAGUCCAGAAGCUGCGUUUUCUUUCAAACUCUGUCUUUGUUUUGUAAAAAUUUGGCCGUAGCAGGAUACAGCUCUUUCACAAUCUACUGAAUUAGGAAGCACUGAGAGCACUUGUUUUGCUUUUUUUGUAAGUUCUGGAAAUCUCUCUGAGACUACCUCUGAAUUCCAGAAUCUAAUUAAGUCCUGGUUUGAACAUUCUUUUACAUAUUCUUUGUAAGCAGCAUACUCGAGUUUUAUAUCUUGACCACUCAUUCCUGGAAUAUUCUUGAAUACAUCGUCGUCUUCAAUAUUGAGGUUGACUAUUUGUUCUGGAUCGAAAACUCGAGCAGCUUUCAAGAAGUUUGAUGCAGGUUGACUAAACUUGGGCUCGCGUUUUUUGAGUACGUCUAGUUCUGGAGACUAUUAAGUAUUCAAAUUUGCAAUUGUUUUGUGAAACACUUCUUGAAGAAAUACAUUGCUUGAAUCUUUUCGUGAGUAUGAUGCCUGAGAAUUACAUCGAAGUUUAGACAGUAGAUCAAAAAUCUUAUUGUAAGCUUUGUGAAUAGAUACAC
Non-coding RNA from Parasteatoda tepidariorum (common house spider), 937 nucleotides. NCBI's taxonomy places the organism in Eukaryota, Metazoa, Arthropoda, Arachnida, Araneae, Theridiidae. The record is from RefSeq and is a predicted model, not a curated record.